RNAcentral lists this ribosomal RNA (375 nucleotides) under uncultured bacterium. RNAcentral describes it as "partial 16S ribosomal RNA". It matches the Rfam family "Bacterial small subunit ribosomal RNA", at positions 331 to 723 of the family's 1533-position model. The record is from RNAcentral.
CCAGACUCCUACGGGAGGCAGCAGUGGGGAAUAUUGCACAAUGGGGGGAACCCUGAUGCAGCGACGCCGCGUGAGUGAUGAAGUAUUUCGGUAUGUAAAGCUCUAUCAGCAGGGAAGAAAAUGACGGUACCUGACUAAGAAGCCCCGGCUAACUACGUGCCAGCAGCCGCGGUAAUACGUAGGGGGCAAGCGUUAUCCGGAUUUACUGGGUGUAAAGGGAGCGUAGACGGCGGCGCAAGUCAGAUGUGAAAGCCCGGGGCUCAACCCCGGGACUGCGUUGGAAACUGCGCGGCUAGAGUGUCGGAGAGGCAGGCGGAAUUCCUAGUGUAGCGGUGAAAUGCGUAGAUAUUAGGAGGAACACCAGUGGCGAAGGCG